GCGGCUCCUCCGCCCGCCGCCUGCAGCUCCGCCCGCCGCCUGAGCCUCGGCGAGCCCCGCGCGCGCGUGCACGGGCUCGGGCGCACCCGGGUGGCCGUGGCACCACGUCGCCGCGCCACCUCCUCCUUCCCCCGCUCUCCGCUCCGCCCGCUCCCUUUCUCCCCGCCCCUUCUCCGGCAGCCGGGAGCGCCAACGACCCCCGAGCGCUGCGGCGGGGUAGUUCGGGAGGACGUCAGGCGGAAGGAAGGAGGGAAGGAGGGAGGCAGGCCGGAGCACGCCGAUUGGAAGCAGCCUGACCGCGGUUGAGGAGCAGCGGGUCCGGUGCCUCUCACAGCUUCUGGAGGGACGCUGGGGAGAGGGUCGCUCCGGGGCAAGCGGGCUGGGGUCCAGGAAUCUGAAUUAUUAAAACUGCCCAGGUGAUGCUCUUUACCAAGGAAUUCUGGCAAAUAUUGAGUUCAAGUACUCUUCCAAGUAUUCCUGGAGUCUCCCAGUAGGGAAAGUUGCCCUGCAUAGAUUCAAGCCUCACCAUCUACAGGAAUAAUGAAGCCCUCACACCCUCUGAUUCUUUAACAUUCAAUGAUAAGAGGGAUGAAUGCCUGCUACAGUAACUAGAAGGUUCUCAAAGUACUGACUAGAUAUUGAUGGAAUCUGAAAAAUGAAGAGACGCUUGAAGGAUGUGAAAGAGGAAACUUAAAGAGAAACCCAGAUGGUACAUCUCUCUACCAGGCUUGGAAAAAGAGAGCCUCCAACCUGCUGCACAGUUUGGGGAGCCUUGACACUCUACCUAUAAUGAGUCAUCGAUGAAGAGCCACGGCCUCAGGCUCCCAACCUAGAGCGUGCAGUCACAGGAACGUGGGAUGGAUGGCGCAGAGGUUAAGUGCACUUGGAACCACAGGACCAUGGGCCUCACCAAGCAUCCUUAUGUCUCAGCACCUCAUAUAUGACAUAAGAAUAGGAAUCAUUCUUUCUUGUUAAGUAAUUAGUGUUAAUAUUUGUUAUAGACUGGAUGUUUAUAUCCCCUCAAAAUUCUAAUGUUGAAAUCCUAACCCCAAUGUGAUGGAAUUAGGAAGCGGGGUGUUUGGGAGGUGAUUGGCCAUAAGGGUAGAGCCCUCAUAAAUGGGAUAAGUGCCCUUAUAAAAGAGACCCUUCCACCAUAUGAAGACACAGCGAGAAGACAACUGUCCAUAAACCAGCAAACAGGUCCUCACCAGACACCCAGUUUGCUAGCACCUUGAUCUUGGACUUCCCAGCCUCUAGAACUAUGAGAAAUAUAUGUUUGUUGUUUAAGCCACCCAGUCUAUAGUAUUUUUGUUAUAAAUACUACUAAGACAAUAUUAAUAUCAGCAUUAGUAUUAUUUUAGCUUUUUGGUCU
Molecule: long non-coding RNA, 1372 nt
Organism: Hipposideros armiger (great roundleaf bat)
Lineage: Eukaryota; Metazoa; Chordata; Mammalia; Chiroptera; Hipposideridae
Exons: 4
Source: RefSeq, a predicted model, not a curated record